RNAcentral lists this microRNA (25 nucleotides) under Pristionchus pacificus. RNAcentral's name for it is "ppc-miR-8244-5p". The record is from miRBase by way of RNAcentral. Lineage: Eukaryota; Metazoa; Nematoda; Chromadorea; Rhabditida; Neodiplogasteridae.
UGGUAUUUUCCCGGCGCAUUUUACA